Molecule: long non-coding RNA, 2519 nt
Filed under: Sorghum bicolor (sorghum)
Lineage: Eukaryota; Viridiplantae; Streptophyta; Magnoliopsida; Poales; Poaceae
Description: long non-coding RNA (SBIC_LNC001126)
Source: RNAcentral
CCACAUUACUUUUUUAAGCCUAUGCACAUACAAUCAAUAUAGUCAGCCUACAUGCUGUAUCUCAUUACCAUCGUAAUAAUUAAUUAAUACAAUUAUUGAAGUUACAUACCCACAACAUUGCCACAAAUAUAAAUAUAAUAAGUUCAUAGAAUAUCACUAUAGAGCAUGAUGUGCAGGUCGUCCUAGUUACAUCAUUCGGCUACAAGCACAUCAGAACUAAAUUGUAAAAAAAAACAUGCAUUUAAUCAAACGCAUCAAGUGUAGGUUGCUGCAUAAUCAGUUCUGUCACAACUCUUUCUUGCAGGUUGCUGCAUAAUCAGUUCCUGUCACAACUCUUUCUUUUGCCUUUGUGUGCUACUCUCUGACAGCCAUUGCAACAUGGAAAACAAAAGCAAAUACUGGAGUGUCAAUGUCAAUAAAAAAAAUGCAUUGUUCAUCACAUAGUUUUCACUACCUUGCUCAUGUCUUAAAGACAACUAGUAGCAGGCGCGUGCCCUCGCGCGCGUUAUCAGUUCAUAAUGCUGAAUUAUGAACAAUCUCAUACAAUUUAUUAGGAUAGAAAUUAGUUAUAAGUUUAGUAAUCAAUGCAUAGACAUGCAUGAAUCUGUAUAUAUUAUAAGGUUUAUUAUUUCGAAUAUUACAUGCUAUUCAUUGGUUGCAUAACUUUACAUAAAAGGUUACAGGUUGCACAGAUAGCAUAUGGUCUGGUGACAACACAUCUACGACUUAAGGUGCCAGUGAUUAUGUUUGCAAGCAAAGUAAAAAAAACUAAAGGAUGUAAGAUUAAUGUCAAUAUAAUAAAGGGAUGCCAACUAAUAAAGAUGGAAUUAAUUUGUCCACACAACUAAGAUCACUCAAAUCAUAAAACUGAUAUCCACGUGUAUUGAAAUCACAUCAAUAACCUAGAGAAGGAAGAUACAAUAUGGCACUCAAAAUCUAGAAACUUGAAAUCCAUGAAUAUGGAGGUGAUAUCCAUGGAUAUGCAUUGUAACUAAAACUUCUGAAUUUUGAACCAAAGCAAAAAUAGUAGGAAGAAGUGUAAAUAGUAGGAAGAAAAAAACAUCAUAGAAAUCUGAAAUGCUAGUUAGGAGUCUAUAUUUUAAUAUAAACAAUUAGCCUUCCCUUAAUCACUAAAACAGCCGUAUAGUAGGAAGAAGUGUAAAUAGUAGGAAGAAAAAAAACAUUUCAUAGAAAUCUGAAAUGUUAGCUAGGAGUCUCUAUUUUAAUAUAAACAAUUAGCCUUCCCUUAAUCACUAAUUCAAAAGGCUGGUUACUCUAAACUGGCCUCUGAAAACAUGGUCAAUGAAGAAUAUGUGGUUACUCUAAGUGAGAUUUUCCCAAUAAAAUGUUUGCAGAGGAAUCGAAAGUACCAAGAUAACCUUUUAGGCCAUCUACAUUUUAUCAGGAUCGACAUGACCAAAAAGGUGUAACCUUUUAGGCACUAUAAAUUGAUCCUUAAUAGUUUAAUUGGUCAAAAAAUAUAGGUUGCACAUAUUUGAUCAGAUAGUGGGGCUACCAACUUUGUAAAAUCUUCAAACACAUACCCCCAAAAAAAUCUAAACACAUGUUUGGUUGCCUGACCUUCAUCUGUGACAUAGUGGCAUGUGAAUUAUAGGUACGUUAUGAAAUAAUCCAACUAUCAAUUGAUCAAGGGGGAAUAUCAAUCACCUCGGAUUAGAAGACGUAUAAGGAGAAAUCUAGUUGAGGGCCUGCGGCUCUGGCCAUUCCAGCAACUGGACACUUGGUAACCUUCAAAACAUGAAAGGAAAACAUAGUACACGCUUGGUAACUUUUAGCACAAAUUAGAAUGGGAACAUGCAGUGUACUGAUUCAGCUGCCAAAUCUAAACUCAGCGCACUGAUGAACUGUUUUUAGGAACAAGAAGAUUCAACUGGGACGAGAUUUAUGGGGAACAAGCGGAUCCCAUGGGUGAACCAACGGAUCCAACCAUGGAGACCCCAGAUCGACCCAGGAAAGAACGGCAACAAGCACAUACCGACGGUCGAGUUCUGCAUCGGCAAGAUAAGGAGAGGAGGAGCAAGGGAGAGAGGCCGCAUAGUCACCGUACUGGGAUUUGGCCUGUCCGACAUGGUACCUAAGGUUUCGCUUGGACGCUGCGCCGCGGCCUUGCGCCUGCCGCUGCAGCCUCACGCCCGCUAUCAUCGCGGGGGGCAGGGGAGAGAGGAGGAGGUGGUGGUGGAGGAGGAGGAGGGCGGCUGUGGUGCGCCACUCGCUCCCGUCAUCGUCGUCGACUCGUCGUCGUCCUUCGGGAGGAGGGAGGGAGCGAAGAGAGAGGAGGAGGAGAGUUGGGGAAAGGAGGCCGGCGAGAGAGAGAGAGAGAGAGACUGGGAGAGUGUGGAGGAAGCUAGGGUUUGGAGAUUGAUAUUUAUUGAUGUUAGCAUUGUUCUCCACCGUCUGAUCAGAUCGGUUGGCUGUGAACUAUUGGGCCCAUUCGUGGGCCUUUGGAUUUUCACUCUCAAAUGCAUAUUUGGGCCUUUGCAUUUAUCGACUGUAUCAUU